CAGUAGCCGCGGUAAUACAGAGGAUGCAAGCGUUAUCCGGAAUGAUUGGGCGUAAAGCGUCUGUAGGUGGCUUUUCAAGUCCGCCGUCAAAUCCCAGGGCUCAACCCUGGACAGGCGGUGGAAACUACCAAGCUGGAGUACGAUAGGGGCAGAGGGAAUUUCCGGUGGAGCGGUGAAAUGCGUUGAGAUCGGAAAGAACACCAACGACGAAAGCACUCUGCUGGGUCGACACUGACACUGAGAGACGAAAGCUUGGGGAGAAAAUGGGAUUAGAUACCCCCGUAGUCCCUGUCUCUUAUAC
Molecule: ribosomal RNA, 301 nt
Filed under: uncultured bacterium
Lineage: Bacteria
Description: partial 16S ribosomal RNA
Rfam family: Bacterial small subunit ribosomal RNA
Source: RNAcentral